CAAGUACUGGUCUCAGCAGAUUGAAGAGAGCACCACAGUGGUCACCACACAGUCCGCUGAGGAUGGAGCUGU
Non-coding RNA from Macaca mulatta (Rhesus monkey), 72 nucleotides. NCBI's taxonomy places the organism in Eukaryota, Metazoa, Chordata, Mammalia, Primates, Cercopithecidae. The record is from Rfam.